This is a long non-coding RNA of Hypomesus transpacificus, 465 nucleotides long. RefSeq lists it as uncharacterized. Lineage: Eukaryota; Metazoa; Chordata; Actinopteri; Osmeriformes; Osmeridae. The record is from RefSeq and is a predicted model, not a curated record. The transcript is spliced from 3 exons.
CCACAGAACUUUGACAAUUUACUUUCUGCUGAGAACAUCGUACAGAUGACAUGCAAUCACUGUCACGUGAAAGAAGCUGUCAUCCGUUGUGGGGAAUGUAUGCCCUCAGAGUGGUUUUGUGCUGAGUGUGAUGGCUCGGUGCGUAAACACCACACUCUACACAACAGGCAAACCAUCAUGGAUGGAUUUUUCAAAUACAUCCCACCAACAGAGGCUGUGACACUCUGUGACACUGGAAAAUACAGCAUUUGUGAACAAGAUUGUUUUCUGCCAACAGCUCUACCUCAAAGGAUAUGCUCCUGUGACACCGCUGAUGCAGCAGUCUCUGUUGGUAGAUCCAUCAUACUGGUUUGCAUAAAUGGCCGUUAUGAUCUUCACGUUCCGGUGCUAACAUGCAAACAUUGCAACCAGAAAUGGGCUCCAGAAGUCAGUGACUUUGUAAAGAGUGGUUACUGGCCUGCUACC